Molecule: ribosomal RNA, 97 nt
Filed under: Atractomorpha porcata
Lineage: Eukaryota; Viridiplantae; Chlorophyta; Chlorophyceae; Sphaeropleales; Sphaeropleaceae
Description: partial 5.8S ribosomal RNA
Rfam family: 5.8S ribosomal RNA
About the family: 5.8S ribosomal RNA (5.8S rRNA) is a component of the large subunit of the eukaryotic ribosome. It is transcribed by RNA polymerase I as part of the 45S precursor that also contains 18S and 28S rRNA. Functionally, it is thought that 5.8S rRNA may be involved in ribosome translocation.
Source: RNAcentral
GAUUUGUAGUGUGAAUUGCAGAAUUCCGUGAAUCAUCGAAUCUUUGAACGCAUAUUGCGCUCGAGGCUUCGGCCGAGAGCAUGUCUGCCUCAGCGUC